Molecule: ribosomal RNA, 443 nt
Filed under: uncultured bacterium
Lineage: Bacteria
Description: partial 16S ribosomal RNA
Rfam family: Bacterial small subunit ribosomal RNA
Source: RNAcentral
CCUACGGGAGGCAGCAGUGGGGAAUAUUGGGCAAUGGAGGAAACUCUGACCCAGCAACGCCGCGUGAAUGAUGAAGGCCUUCGGAAUGGAAAGCUCUUUUCAAAGGGAAGAAGAAAGUGACGGUACCUUAGGAAUGAGCGUCGGCUAACUACGUGCCAGCAGCCGCGGUAAUACGUAGGGGGCGAGCGUUAGCCGGAUUGACUGGGUGUAAGGGGUGCGUAGGUGGUUCGGCAAGUUAGUAGCGUAACUCUGAGGCUCAACCAUGGGACUACGACUAGAACUGGUGGGCUUGAGUGCAGGAGAGGCAAGCGGAAUUCGUAGUGUAGCGGUGAAAUGCGUAGAUAUUAGGAGGAACACCAGUGGCGAAGGCGGGUUGCCGGACUGUAACUGACGCUGAGGCUCGAAAGCGUGGGGAGCGAACAGGAUUAGAUACCCGGGUAGUC